Molecule: long non-coding RNA, 1853 nt
Filed under: Malus domestica (apple)
Lineage: Eukaryota; Viridiplantae; Streptophyta; Magnoliopsida; Rosales; Rosaceae
Description: long non-coding RNA (MDOM_LNC020469)
Source: RNAcentral
ACACAUACUAAGAGGGAGAGAUAGAUUAAUGUCAAAUGUGACAAGGUCCAAUAAAACAGUAAUUAAAACACAUUCCCAAGGUUUAAACAAUUUUAUUUUAGCGCCUUAUCUCAUAGCUCAAUUAUUGUUUAAGGCAUAAGUCCAUAGUCACCAUUUUCUAACUACUUAAUCACAUUAAAUAAUCAAAAUGGAAUGCAACAUGAACAUUUAGAUUUAGUGCAUAUGGGCAUAAUAGUAUUAUGAGUUUAAACAACUAACAAAAUUAAAAUCAAAUAUUUUAACUUUCUAGUUAGUAGGGGCUUAAAUGCAAAUAAGAAAAAGUUAGGGGUCAAACCGUAAAUACUCAAAAGUAUAAAAUAUCUUUUUCCAAAUUACAAAAACCCCCCAAGUAGAUAAAUCUACUAGGGUGGCCGGCCACAUUAAGGGGAGAUGGGAAGUCUCACCAAUCUUGCUUUAAUUCAAUGCAAAGUAGAAAAAAUCCAAAUUUGCUUGUCACUUGGUUUUGGCAUUAAAACUUAGGUGAAAAGGAUUGAUGGAAAUUUCCUAGUCAAGUCUAGGAUUUAAUAAAUUUUUGGGAAGGCUAUGGAUGAUAAGUAUAUCAUCCAAAACCAUAAAACAAUUUAUGAAAACCAAAUAAAACCAUUUUCACCAAACACAAACCAUGAACACCAAGAACAAAACCAUGAACAUAAUUUCAAGAUUUGUGUAUUCUUGGUGAUUUUUCAAACCCAAAAACUAAAGUGACAAGGGCUCUACUUUCUAGCUUUAAAAUGAUGUGUGAGUGUCUUACAACAAAACACAAACACAUGCCCAAAACCCCCCUUAAUGCCGUGCCUACCACAAGGAACAAAACCCCAAAUUUUGUUCAUAACUUACUCUUCAUUCAUGCAUCCAAAACACCUUUUUACAUGCAUAUCUUUUUCAACUCUUGAUUUAUAUUUUUCAACCAUUGAAAAACAAAAGAUAAACAUACUUUAAAUGAAGAAAUAAUAUGUCAAACUAGUUCAAAACUCAAUUUUCAUUCAUGCAUACAAAACAUCUUUUGCAUACAUAUCUUUCUCAACUAUUGACUAACAUUUUUCAACUAUUGAAAAACAAAAGAUAAACUUAUUUUGAAUGAAGCAAUAAUUAUAUCAUACAUAAUAUUAAUACCCAUAUGCAUAAAAUCCAAAAGGACACAUUAUACAUAAACCUUUGGCUCUGAUACCACUUGAAGGGAAAACUAUGAGUUUAACACAAGGGAUUUCGAAAUGACUAGCAUGCAUAUACAAUUCAAAAUUUAUAUACAUAAGCAACGGAAGCAUGUUAUCAAAUAAUAUCAAAGCAAUAAUCAUGCAAAUCCCCUUCAAGGUUCAUAGGUUUAUAUAUAAUGCAUCUAAAACAUUCAAGUUAAGAACUAAGUGAAAGUAUAGAUCUAUACCUCUUGAUCUUGAUUUUAGACCAAGGAUGGACCACCUCCAAGUCCUUUGCUCCUUGAAGUCCUUGAGCCUAGCCUCCCUCCUUGCCUCCUCCACUUUGUUAGUAAGAGUGCUCCAAGGUUCUCCUUUAGUCUCUAAAGAAGAAGACCUCUAAAUAUCCACACCCACUAGUGUAGUGAGAUGGAUGGAGGAAUAACCAAAAGGGUGAAAGAUUGUUAGCUAAAUCACCCUCAAGGUGGCUGGCCUUUGGUGUUUUAGAGAGAUGUUUCUUUUGCCUCUUUGUUGUUUUAAAACACACAAAAACCCUAAGGAAUAAAUCUCUAUAAAGUUCCUUAUAUAGACAAAAAGAAACCUAGUCAACAAAUUGACUUAAUAUCUCUCCCUCUACACUUUAAAUGGCCGGCCCCUUUGUGUUGGUUUGGGCUUUGGGCUUUU